RNAcentral lists this long non-coding RNA (1144 nucleotides) under Anser brachyrhynchus (Pink-footed goose). RNAcentral describes it as "lncRNA (ENSABRG00000001186.1)". Lineage: Eukaryota; Metazoa; Chordata; Aves; Anseriformes; Anatidae. The record is from RNAcentral.
UUGCAGAUGUUUCAUAUUUUUCUUUGGUCAUUGUUUUAUGAUGCAUUUAAUCAUAAUCAGAUUUAUUGAAAGUAACAAAAAUUAAACAGUCUCUUCAACAAAGAGAGGGCAGAAUAUCAUGCUAGCUUGAAUUUGGCUUUGGGAGACUUAGGGUGUAACGUAAGGUGUAGUAUUAGUGCCAUUUCAGAGUAACAAAACCAAUAGAAGCAAAGUGAAAAAAAGUAAUUGAAACAUCUUAAUUUAUCACCAACUUAUUUUUUUCUUUCAUUGUUUUUAUAUGUAAGCAAAUCCCUGAAAAUGUGUCUACUGAGGUUAGAAAGAUGAUUUAUUAAAAAUAAAUAAAUUGAAAACCACUGGUAUUUUUUUGUGGUGUAAAUUGAACAAGAUGUGCUUCCACCUCUCAUAUUACACAUAUUACAUCUAAUGGCACUACUGAAAAUUCAAUUGUCUAAUGAAGAUUGUACAGUUAAUGUACUUACUGUGUGAUAAUGACAAUGUGGUUAUUUUAAGAUGUUCUUUUUCUGCACAAUUCUAGAAAGACAACUAUCUCCAAAAAUGAGAAAAAAAGAGAAUAAUUGCAAACAGAUAAGCCAACAGAAGACAUCUACAGCUAAUGUGUACUGAAGAGCACAUUUUCCUGCUGUGUGCCAAAGACCCUGAACUCUGAGCCUGGACGUGCAGCUUUACAAGUCAGAUCUACCUCCUGAUGACCAGCACUGAGCAUACAACAUGUUGUGAGAUUCUUCCUGGAGGAGUCCUGUGUUGCCUGUUACGAGGGCAGGUAGAUUUUACAAGCACAGUAUAGGUAAAGUGUGCCAGGGUCAUGGAAGUGUUGUGGAUGCCAGACCAUUUCAUGGAAUGCUCAUAUCUGGUAUGGCAAAUGUAUGGACACUUUGCUCUGCAUUUCAUGCUCCGUAUUUUAGGUAUAUAACUGUGCACUGAUUACAAGAUAUGCAAGCCACAAUUGUGUGUUUGUCCAUACAGUGGAACUGCACUAUGGCCUAUCCCAGGUCUGGCCCUGCACAACACCCCAGUACUGAGUGAGACAGACAACAAGUUCAAGGAAAAAUUAAGGACAAAAAGGAAAUCAUGUGGAAACAAUUUUUGAAAUAAAUUAAAAUUCUUAGAGUGGUGGACUAAUACA